GACGAACGCUGGCGGCGUGCCUAAUACAUGCAAGUAGAACGCUGAAGGAGGAGCUUGCUUCUCUGGAUGAGUUGCGAACGGGUGAGUAACGCGUAGGUAACCUGCCUGGUAGCGGGGGAUAACUAUUGGAAACGAUAGCUAAUACCGCAUAAGAGUGGAUGUUGCAUGACAUUUACUUAAAAGGUGCAAUUGCAUCACUACCAGAUGGACCUGCGUUGUAUUAGCUAGUUGGUGGGGUAACGGCUCACCAAGGCGACGAUACAUAGCCGACCUGAGAGGGUGAUCGGCCACACUGGGACUGAGACACGGCCCAGACUCCUACGGGAGGCAGCAGUAGGGAAUCUUCGGCAAUGGACGGAAGUCUGACCGAGCAACGCCGCGCGAGUGAAGAAGGUUUUCGGAUCGUAAAGCUCUGUUGUAAGAGAAGAACGAGUGUGAGAGUGGAAAGUUCACACUGUGACGGUAUCUUACCAGAAAGGGACGGCUAACUACGUGCCAGCAGCCGCGGUAAUACGUAGGUCCCGAGCGUUGUCCGGAUUUAUUGGGCGUAAAGCGAGCGCAGGCGGUUAGAUAAGUCUGAAGUUAAAGGCUGUGGCUUAACCAUAGUACGCUUUGGAAACUGUUUAACUUGAGUGCGAGAGGGGAGAGUGGAAUUCCAUGUGUAGCGGUGAAAUGCGUAGAUAUAUGGAGGAACACCGGUGGCGAAAGCGGCUCUCUGGCUUGUA
RNAcentral lists this ribosomal RNA (725 nucleotides) under uncultured Bacilli bacterium. Its description in RNAcentral is "bacterial SSU rRNA". It matches the Rfam family "Bacterial small subunit ribosomal RNA", at positions 28 to 738 of the family's 1533-position model. Lineage: Bacteria; Bacillati; Bacillota; Bacilli. The record is from RNAcentral.